CGCGCACACCCCGUGCUGGUUGGAAGUGGCACAAAAAGCCGAAAGCGUCGCGAGGACAAUGUUCACGAUGUGAAUCCACGGAGACGGAAACCGAGCGAACGGCUGCGACACGAGCGGAAAAGGGCGUGAGCGGGAUGUCCGUGGAUGAGAAGUCUGAAGCCCCCAUGUACGUGUAUGAGUCGACGGUUCACUGCACCAACAUCCUCCUGUGCCUGGACGACCAGCGGAAGCAGGACAUCCUGUGCGAUGUGACUGUCCUGGUGGAGGGCAAGGAGUUCCGCGGGCACCGGGCCGUGCUGGCCGCCUGCAGCGAGUACUUCCUCCAGGCGCUGGUGGGCCAGACGGAGAAUGGUUUGGUGGUCAGUCUUCCUGAAGAGGUCACUGCCAGAGGAUUUGCCCCUUUGUUGCAGUUUGCCUACACUGCUAAGCUGUUACUCAGCAGAGAAAACAUCCAGGAGGUCAUCCGCUGUGCUGAGUUCUUGCGCAUGCACAACCUGGAGGACUCGUGCUUUCGUUUCCUGGAAGCCCAGCUGCGCAGCGAGGAGGACGGCUUGCUGCUCUGCCACAAGGUGGCCCCGGAGGCCAACAGCUCUGAGGAUGAGAGCAUGCAGUCAGAGGUGGAGAGGCCCACCUCCCCCAGAGCGCGGCGGUGUGCCGAUGCCAUCGCCUCCUUUCGACACCCCGAUGAUGAUCAUCUAGCAGCGGUGGUGCCCAAUAACUUUACGGAUGGCCGGCUGGAGUUUGACCGGCACGGAGCCUCAGACCUGCCGCGAUGCCCCAAAUACAGGAAGUAUCAGUGGGCUUGUAACAAGCACAAUAAUGACACCUCCUCACACACCAGUACCUCAGGUUUUCCAAGCACAUUCAAGGAGAGCGGAUCAGCACCUGGUCCAGGCGCGCUGUCUUUGGCACAGAUCAAAGUCGAACCACAAGCAGGGGAGGAGGCGGUCUCGUUGUGCCUGUCGGGGGACGAGCAGGACGUCACCGAUAAGGAAGGCGUGACAACCAUGGAAAUGGAUAACCCUGUGUCAGUGGAAAGAACCAAGAGGAUCAAGUCCCCUUCCUGCCUCCGAGCCUUCUUCAAGAAAGGGGCGGACCUCCCGAGUCUGCCCAACACAUCGCAGCAGCUACUCACCAACAGACUCGUUAGCCCCCACGACAAAGGCAACUCUCAGGGAGAUCACAAAAAAGACUUCAGGCCUUUCACGGGGGAGCUGGGCCUGUCUGCGGCAUCCCCGAAGGACGAGGACAGUUUUCCUACUGGCUUGUCCCUAAAGUCUGCCUCCUGCGACGGGGUCUGCAAACAGGAGGUUGAACUGGACCGUCGUAGUGUCAUAUUUUCCUCAGGGGCCUGCAACCGUCUGGGAACGCCAGCACAUUCCUUCCCUGGAGGGAAUUCUUUGGAGAUGGAGCUCUCUGAGCACAUGCCAAAGGGCCUGUGGGCCGGAGCCAGCCAGUCCCUCCCCACCUCCCAGAACUAUUCUCCCGGCACCACCUCCACAGAGCCCCCACUCCUGUGCCGCCCGCGACCCAACACCAGCUGCCCAGUGCCAAUCAAAGUGUGCCCGCGCUCGCCGCCCUGUGAGACACGGACCAGGACGUCCAGCUCCUGCUCCUCUUACUCAUACGCGGAGGACGGCAGUGGUGGGUCUCCCUGCAGCCUCCCUCAGUUCGAGUUCUCCUCUUCUCCAUGCUCCAAUGUGGCACGCUGCCUCAACGUGGACCAGCAGGAGCCCAGCGUGGGCGGCGAAGCCCUUUUCAGCCAAGUGCGGCCCAAGAUCAAAUGUGAGCAGUCGUACGGCACCAACUCCAGCGACGAGUCCGGCUCCUUCUCAGAGGGAGACAGCGAGUCCUGCCACGUUCAGGAGCGAGGCUCAGAGGUGAAGCUCCCUUUCCCUGUCGAUCAAAUCACAAAUCUUCCAAGGAAUGACUUUCAGAUGUUGGUAAAAAUGCACAAACUGACUUCAGAGCAGCUUGAGUUCAUUCACGACGUCAGGCGGCGGAGUAAGAACCGCAUUGCCGCGCAGCGCUGCCGCAAGAGGAAGCUCGACUGCAUCCUGAACCUGGAGUGUGAGAUCAGAAAACUGGUGUGUGAGAAGGAGAAGCUGCUGACGGAGCGGAACCAGCUGAAGGCGUGUAUGGGUGAGCUGUGGGAGAACUUCUCCUGUCUGUCCCAGGAGGUGUGCCGGGACGUCCAGCUGAGCCCGGAGCAGGUCCAGUCCUUACACCACUACUGCCCCGUGUUGCGGCCCGCCAACUCCACUGCCAGCAGCGCCGCCGCCACCGCACACGAGCCUAAAGCCGGCGCCAUGCUGCCGGGCCACUCCACCACCAGCAUCGACCUCACCGCCCACUCAGGCACAGCAACGCCCGAACCCGCCCCCCGCGGGUCCCCCGGCCGCCCAGAGGGCGAGCCUGCUUUGUCAAUAAGGAACGGGCCGGUCAAAGACCUGGACAGCCACGCGGCCAGCUUGUACGCCGAGUCGGGACUGUGCGUGGAAAAGUCCAACCAGACGGUGACUGUGGACUUUUGCCAGGAAAUGACUGACAAAUGUACAACUGACGAGCAGCCGCGGAAGGACGGCGCCAAGUAGUGUUUGUUCUGUUUUUUUCUUAUUUAAUUUUGCUCUCGUGACGAACCCGUUCUUCGGGUUGUUGAGAAGUUCAGCCUCUGCCAGUGUCCACUGAAAACAAGCUUUCUUUGUAUUUAUGUCUUCUUGUUUUUUAAUGUUUGACACUAAAGUUGUCUUAACAGCAGCAAUACUGUUCUCCAGGUGUUGUCACGGUAACACAGUGAGACCUUCUCACCAAACCUUCCAGUGGUGCUAACCUUGGCCCGGCAGCAGCCUCCACACCGGAGACACUAAUGGUGAACCUCACAACCCAACCGCGCUCCUCGUCGGACUCUGCAGCUCCGCCUGCCUGUUGGUGUUUCAGAAUUCCUUUUACAAACAGAACUUUAAUCAGAUAAACAAGAAAUGAUGUCAGUUUCACUUACAAACAACAGCAAUCAUUAUUUUUACUCAGAAUAUCAACUUUGUCCCGUUAAUAAGAAAUAGGCUGAUUAGAGUGCCGUCUUUUGGCCCAUCUUCAAAAAGGUUUUUUUUAAUUCUCUUAAAAUUUGUCCCCAAACGCAUCAACUCCAAGUGACUGUUAGCAGCUUUACCACAGUAUUUUAAUUUCAUAUUUAGAUGUUUUUUUUAAGCUCCUCGUCCUUGUUUGCCUUCAAGGUUCAAACAUCGAGACACAUUCUGUUCAAACAUCUUAAUGUUCUUGAUUUAUAAAUUAAAAUAUGAUUUUCAAUAAUAAGUUUGCACAUUUGAGGCACUGGGAAAAAAAUCAGUAAUUUCAAUUUUCAAUAAUUUCAAUAAUUUUAACAUUUUCAAUAAUGUCUUAAACCUGUUGGAUCGCAUCCCUCGAGCCACUUUGACGGGUUCAGGCACAAAAACCAGUCAGUCCAUUGUUUAAACUGGAGAAACAUGCAGCUUAUGUAAAUCCACCAGAAAAUUCACAGAUUUCCAUCCAUCAAAUGAAAAUGCUUCAAAUAGUUGGAUAUUUUUCACGCUGAUCGUUACCUCAGCAGACGAGUGUACGUCAUUAAAAUGUGCAGUGUUGGACUUCCUGGGUUUUGCAUCUCAACCCUCCAAGUCGUUCUUUAAUAAAUGUAUUUAUUAAAGGAGUUUAUAUUGUGUAAAAACAUUUUAGCCUCUUCAAAAAGUUUCAGUCCGUUUCAUCUUAAAUCCACUAACUUCCCUGAUAUAAAUACAGUUUGUGCCUGAAAGGCUAAAUUUAAUCUUUUGUGACAUAUGUCACGGACGUCUGCGUCUAAGCUCCAUGACUAAUGUGCGACACGCCCACUGAGCCUGUCUGUGUUCUGUGGGACACGCCCACACAGUUUGUUCAUCCAUUCCAACACUCCCCCUCCCUGUGGAGCGUGGGCGUGGCCAGCAGCUCCUUUCCAUUUAAAGCAACAGAUGCAUGUUGCACCAAAAUAUAUAUUUUCUGCAUCUCCUCCGUUAUUGUGUCAUCGCUGCAGAGGCACAACGCAUCCAAAGUUCAAACGUGCUGAAACUGAGCAGCCAAAACAUGUGACCUUUGUGUGCGCAGCCAAUGAGUGCAGAGGGGGCGGAGACUGUGCUCACAAGAGAGGAGAAGCUAAUGCUAACCAGAACUGUGCAGCAACAGAUUAGUUUUCAUGCUCAGACCAAAGUACAAAAGACAAACUUGCACGGGGAAAACGUAGCGCCACCUUCAGCUGUGGAGUGGAACGUCGCUGCAGGGACCAAAGUGGUGCUGCAGUGCUGCGAUUCGUCCCCCCGAGGGGACGUUUGUCAAAGGAGCGCUGAAACACCACGGCGGGCACGAACAGCAGCUCUCCUCGUCUGGUUCGUCUCGUCCUGCUUUUCUUUGUCACCUUCUGUGGUUUUAUUCGUCCUUUGAUGAUCUCAGUGGCCCUUUUUGUCACAGCACUUCAAACUCAGGAAAAUCUUCUGAAUGUUCAACCUGAUUUCAUGAGAAACAAGAACACAGUUUGUGAGGAAGUUCUGAUGCAGUCAGACUGUAAAAUGUUCAUAUGCAAACAUGUCUUCAGCGUGUGGCGUUUGUAUUUUUUGUACAGGCCGUAAACAUUCCUCCUUUGCCUUCCUCAGCACUGAAAUGAAAGCAGGAAAAAAAUUUCACAGGCAGUUAAAAUUGUAAAUCUUUUCAUUUCCCCCAUUCGUCAGCAAUACCAUCGUGUUUGGAUGUCGUAUCGGUGACUUGUUGUUUGGCAGAAGGUAACGUGUAUAUAGUGACGCUCACGCUGGUUUGUGUACAGGUAGCGGCUCAGACGUCUUCUCACCGGGGUUCGUAUCGAAGGGAAAAUCUUUGCUUUGCGGUUUCCUGUCCUGCCUGACUUAUUCGCCAUCACGGCGGGUUUUCUUAUACUCAGGAAAUCAGCUCCACUCACUCAUUCACUCACUCACUCACUCACGCACACACACACGCAGUUCUGCUCACAUGUGUUUGGACACUGAAUUUUUUUUUGUUCUUUCUGAGCUUGUAAAAUUCAUUGUCCAAAUAUUUUUGGACCCGACUGUACUGUGCACACUUCCACAUCACAUUUGAGCCCCCCACAUGUAUAAAAGUGAUACAUUUGAGACGGGGCGUGUUUGAAGCCCCUCCUCUCCACCUUUGACUCCUCUUUAAAUGUGAAAAUAUUGUUGCCUUUUUCUUUUAUGACAUCACUUAUCAGUAUUCACAGAGGCUUUUGUGUCAACACUCACAGACAAGCUUUGAAUUUGUCCAGCGGCGCUGCUUUGAGCAGAAAACAAGGCUGACAGAAUGAGCCUGAAAAACAUGCCUAAUUUUAAAAAACAAACAGAUUUUAUGGUCUCAUUUCUUUGGUACUUUGUUUCAUCUGGAAUGUGAUGGGCCACAAGAAAAAUGUUUUUGGAAUUCUGAAUUAAAAGUCAGAGCUAUAAUUACAAAAUCUUCAAAUUUUGAGAACAAAGAAUUCUGCAGAAAAAGUUGAAAUUCUGUCAAAAGAGUCACAAUAUUGUUAGAUAGUCCUAAUUCUGAGUUUAAAAUUUGGAAAAAAGAGACUGGAAUUGAAAAAAAUUAAAUAAAUCAGAAUUCCGUGUGUCAGAAUUCUGAUUUGUUUUUUGUUUUGUUUUGGUAUUGUUGUUUUUUAAUCAGAAUUUUGAGUUUAGAGCUCUGCAACUAAAAUGGGAUUUCUGGGGGUCUAAGUUUUAGAGUAAUUUUUUUUAUUAGAUUUUUUUUUUUUAAUCUGAAUAUUGAGUUUGUACUAAUUUCAGCUAAAAUUAAAUUCUUGUGUAGGGGGAUUUUUUUUUUUUAAAUUUUUUUUAAGCAGGUGGCCCUGAUUUGAGCCAUUGGUUCCAGUUCCUGGUGCUCAGAACCAUUCAGCACCUAACCAACAGUCUUUAGAGACUGGAGCACUUAAAUUGGCACUUAUGGACAAUGUUUUGUUUGCAUCCGGUAAAAAUGUGUGUAUGAAAAAGAAGAAGCUGAACCUGUUAAGAAGCUAAUGUUUUGAGUGUUACGUUGGACAUUUGUUUAGGAAUGAAUAAGCUAAUUAAGAAUGAAUUUGAGGUGUUUGAGUCAUCACAAUAACAAUCUUCUAAGAUCGUACGUUUUUUGGCCGAACUGUGCGUUUACUUUGAACAUGUUGUCUGCAUGCUGCUUUUAGCAAUAAGCUUAGUUAGUUUGGUAGCUUCUCUUUGCCUCGAAAGUUCACUUUUUCUUUCAAAUGUUUCCGAAAACCAGAUGAACCUUUUCACUGGCUUUGAAACAAUCGAGGGUCAUAAUCACAAAAGAAAUGUGAAGCUUUAUUCUCCUUCUCUAAAGGGACACACCUUCUGGAAAGUUCGAGUGCACAACAGCGCCCCCACUUUGUCAUUUUCAGCCACAUGUCUAAACACAGCUAUUGCCUGGGCCUAAAAACUGGGAAUUUUGGGGGUGGGGGGGGGGUGUUGAUGGGUUCAGCCUUUGAUGUCCCAGGAGUAGAUGGCGCCCUCUGGUGGUUCUGUACUUUGAGGUUGUGGGUAAUAUGACUCACAUUAAAAUGAUUCUGAGCUGUAAAUCUUGAAAUCUUUCUGUGAAUAUAUCUAAAUGUUUAUCUGGGGGAGUUGACGUUUGAUGACAUCACAGAUGACCCUUCACGACCCCCGACGCUUAAUGAAGUCAGUUUUAGAUGUAGUUUAAACGAUGACCUCUCCAGCACGUGGAUUUGUGGAGUGUUUCUUAUUUUGUAGUACACGUGCGCACACACACACACACACACACACAGGUGCAGGCUGCAGCAUGGCCUGCAGGGGGAGCAGUUGGGGUUCUUGGGUUUGUGUUUCUCAUGUUUGUUUUUGGGGAUUUUGAAGCAGUAUUCACUGACACGGAGGUUCUGCCAACUUCAAAUCACAAAAUGUAAACUGUCCAAACCUCCUACUCGCCUCCGAUUUGCUUCGGUCACGUUCCUGCUCAGCGUUUCUGGUCGGUUGAAACCGUCUGUGUGACUUCAUGAAGUAUGUGUUGUAGCAAAUGUUUCCUCAUCGCAGCUCCUGAUGAUGAACUGAGCAGAAUGAACCACUGAAUGUUCUCACCUCAAUGUAACAGAUCUUUGAUUUGUAGAAAAAGAGGCAACGUAACGAAACAGGGUCCUCUUCAGUCAAAAAAGCUUUUUGUCCAGACCUCAGAAACCGUACCGUCUCCAUCUGGACCAUUCUGGUUUACACCACGGAGACCAUCAAGUUGACUUUUUGAAACAUCAGGCUCCAAACCUUUGAAACAGCUCUUCAGUCUGAAACACGUGUCAGGUAGAAGUUCAAAUCGCCCAGGAGUCUUCAGGUCUUUGUUAGGGCAGAGUCUGAAGCUUUCAGCUCUUUUCAGGUCAUUAAUACUGUGACAUCACCUGGGGGGUGUGGCUUGAUGGCCUCGCCCCUGCAGGUAUUGAUCGUCCAGGUGCAGUGGUGUUGGGAGUUUUUCCUUCUUGGCCUGUGCUCAACAUGACAUCCAAAAAGAAAAAUGGAUCAUAAAGAUGACAAGCCUGUCUGUGGUCAUCUUCAUUCAUGAUGUAAGCACUCGGAGUGGGCGGGCUUAACGCUGAUACUUUCCGAUGUGGGAAGGUCUGUUUGCACAAACGGUGUAGGACUGACCUGUUGUCCUGCAGGUGUCCAGAGGCGGUGAUUGUUUUGUGGUUUUCUAGGCCCUGAAUGUGGGUGUGUCACUCACAAACCACCUCGAGGGACCAAACAUACCACCCACAAAUGACCGGGUUCAUAUCCCUCAUGAACAUUUAUGUAUGAUAGUCAUCCCAGAGCUGGAGCCAGGUUAUGGGUUUAGUUUAGAUUAUUGGUUGAGUUAAUAGAGUUUUAAAAAGGACUAGUUUUACUUACCAAGUUACAGGGUAACAUAUGUCACGUCAUAGAAUCCAACGGGCAUCAACCUUAUUUGACCGUAACCAAACACUCAACACAGUCAAAACUAUUCCAUUUAUUAAUCCUAUUAGCUCAACCAAUAAUUUGCACCACUUUUUUACCUAAAUUGGAGCAACUUUAAACUUUGACCCCUGUACAAACUGAAAUUGACCUUUGUCACCAUUCUUGCUGUUUUUACCCCCAAACUCCUGAACUUACAGUCAGAUGGUCCAAACUACCUUUUUGGAAUCUCUGUGAUCAGACAAAUAAUGUGCUAUUGUUUUCAGUAUGACUGGAUCAUUUUUAAAUGUCCUGGUCCAUACUUGGUCCAUGUCUUGUCCUUGGCCACCCUGGACAUCCAGCAUCCUUUUUUGAAGUCCCUAUUGAUCGGUGACCAAAAUGGCGUAUCAAACAUUUUGUCACCCUGGCUCAUGGUGACUACAGACUGUUAUAAGUAGCAAACAGGUGGCAUCAAAACCACGUCUUUCCUUUUUAGUGGUUUGUGCUGUUUUCUCAAGCUUGAUGUCUUCUUUCACACUGUAUUCAAACACCUGUUGGUCUUGAAUACUGUGUGUAACCUUGCAGGCGGGUGGCCCCUGAAUCGGGAAGUUUGACCCCGAGUCAGGUGGGUGGCCCCUGAAUCGGGCUGUUUGACCCCGCGUCAGAUGGGUGGCCCCUGAAUUGGGCAGUUUGACCCUCAGUCAGACGUGUGGCCCCUGAAUUGGGCCGUGUGACCCCGGGUCAGGUGGGUGGCCCCUGAAUUGGGCAGUUUGACCCCGAGUCAGGUGGGUGGCCCCUGAAUCGGGAAGUUUGACCCCGAGUCAGGUGGGUGGCCCCUGAAUCGGGCCGUUUGACCCCAGGUCAGGUGGGUGGCCCCUGAAUUGGGCAGUUUGACCCUGAGUCAGACGUGUGGCCCCUGAAUCGGGCCGUUUGACCCCAGGUCAGGUGGGUGGCCCCUGAAUUGGGCAGUUUGAUCCUGAGUCAGACGUGUGGCCCCUGAAUCGGGCCAUUUGACCCCGCAUCAGGUGGGUGGCCCCUGAAUUGGGCAGUUUGACCCUCAGUCAGACGUGUGGCCCCUGAAUUGGGCCGUUUGAGUCCGGGUCAGGUGGGUGGUCCCUGAAUUGGGAAGUUUGACCCUGAGUCAGACGUGUGGCCCCUGAAUCGGGCCGUUUGACCUCGGGUCAGGUGGGUGGCCCCUGAAUUGGGCAGUUUGACCCUGAGUCAGACGUGUGGCCCCUGAAUCGGGCCGUUUGACCCCGGGUCAGGUGGGUGGUCCCUGAAUUGGGCAGUUUGACCCUGAGUCAGACGUGUGGCCCCUGAAUCGGGCCGUUUGACCCCGGGUCAGGUGGGUGGCCCCUGAAUUGGGCAGUUUGACCCUGAGUCAGACGUGUGGCCCCUGAAUCGGGCCGUUUGACCCCCGGUCAGGUGGGUGGCCCCUGAAUUGGGCAGUUUGACCCUGAGUCAGGCGGGUGGCCCCUGAAUUGGGCAGUUUGACCCUGAGUCAGACGUGUGGCCCCUGAAUCGGGCCGUUUGACCUCGGGUCAGGUGGGUGGUCCCUGAAUUGGGCAGUUUGACCCUGAGUCAGACGUGUGGCCCCUGAAUCGGGCCGUUUGACCCCCGGUCAGGUGGGUGGCCCCUGAAUUGGGCAGUUUGACCCUGAGUCAGACGUGUGGCCCCUGAAUUGGGCCGUUUGACCCCGGGUCAGGUGGGUGGCCCCUGAAUUGGGCAGUUUGACCCUGAGUCAGACGUGUGGCCCCUGAAUCGGGCCGUUUGACCCCCGGUCAGGUGGGUGGCCCCUGAAUUGGGCAGUUUGACCCUGAGUCAGGUGGGUGGCCCCUGAAUCGGGCAGUUUGACCCUGAGUCAGGUGGGUGGCCCCUCUUUGAUCUGGAAAACAAUCCUGUUGCAUGUUGCAUAGACUCCGCCCACAUACCACAUGGGUAAAAUGUUCCUGUUUUCAGGUUGCUUGUUAUUUUUGAACUUUGUUUUGAUUUCGACAAAAACUGUGACCUGAUGUUGCCAGGUUAUUCAUCUCACCCACUGUGGGUCAGACUGCUAUGUGUAACGGGGGUUCUGUCUGCCCGCUGUCUGUCCAUUUGGACCUCAUGUGAAUGUUGGUUUCUUGCUUCACUGAUUGAAAUCUUCACUAAUCAGGAUAAACUGAUGAAUUCUGGAUGAUUUGAACCUCAACUUGAUAUGAAUUUUAAAAAUACUCUGAAAUAGUGAUUUUGUUUGUGUUCGGUUCUGUCAAAGGUGAUCAGUUUACAUCAGGGGUCAUCGACCCGGCUCCUGGAGGUCACCUGACCUCCCUGCUCCACCCACUCAUAAUUAGUGAAGUCAGCUGCACACCAGAUGGGACUCAUCAGCUGUGGAAAAUGUGCAGGUGACCUCCAGGAGCAGGGUCAUGACCCCUAGUUUACAUCAUUUGAUGAAAGAGUUUGAAAUCACCUGCAGCACAGGAAUCAUCUCAGAAGCGUUUUUAAUGGCUGCGUAUGAAUCUGUGCUUUUGGUCGGCUUUUCACAGUUUAGCUGCAGUGUUCUUUUAUUGUGUGUGUGAACUUUGACCUUUGUGUUGCUGCUUCUCUGAAACAAACACUGGCUCUUCAACUCCAAAGGUUUUUCUGAAAGAAUGAGAACAAAACAUGCCUUUCUCUCAGAUUGUUCGACUUUAUUGCGGGGAAAAAAAGGAACCCUGGAUUCCCGGAGAAAUGCGCGGACCGAGUAGGCGGAGUCAAAGAGAAAAAUGUUUACAGACAUCACGUGGGCUUUGAUCAGACUGGUUCUUGGCGUUUUGUUUCGUCACAUUGUUUUUAAUCCACCCUUUGGGAUGUUCACCUCCAAUAUUUGCCUUAGAACUUGCAGAGGCCAUAGUUCACGUUCGAGUGUAUGCAGGGGCCCCGGGCCCCAUCCCCACGUCACCAGUGCAGACUCUCUCACACUUAUCUACCUGUGAAAUCCUUCAUACCUCUCAUAACUGGUCAAUGACUGUAUCAGCAAACGGCAUCAGGUGUUUUUCUACAUGCUUUUUACACAGAUGAUUAUUGUAUUCGUAGGUUUUUGGUGCAUCAUUUUUAAUGUAAUAGCUCCGAAGCUUGUAGUUCCAGUUGUUGUUUUUCUUUCUUUUUUCUAGAUGACUGUUUUGUGUUAAUAUUGUCCAUUUGAAAUAGUUGGUAUUUGCUUAUUCUCGACAGAGUUCUUACCUUCAUGAUUUUUAAAUCCUACAUGACCCUAAUUAAUGAAAGCUACUUAAUAACCAGUGUAAAUACGGUAUUUGUGCAAAAUGCAUUUUCAGCCAUUUCAGUUGCUGGUUUUUUUUUUUUUUUUUUUUUUUUUUUUUUUUUGUCUAGACACCAUUUCUGUUCAUGAAAUAAAGAAACAUGCAUAUCAUG
Molecule: RNA transcript, 11294 nt
Organism: Thalassophryne amazonica
Lineage: Eukaryota; Metazoa; Chordata; Actinopteri; Batrachoidiformes; Batrachoididae
Gene: bach2b
Gene name: BTB and CNC homology 1, basic leucine zipper transcription factor 2b
Exons: 7
Source: RefSeq, a predicted model, not a curated record